Molecule: ribosomal RNA, 484 nt
Filed under: uncultured bacterium
Lineage: Bacteria
Description: partial 16S ribosomal RNA
Rfam family: Bacterial small subunit ribosomal RNA
Source: RNAcentral
AUUGAACGCUGGCGGCAUGCUUUACACAUGCAAGUCGAACGGCAGCGCGGGCUUCGGCCUGGCGGCGAGUGGCGAACGGGUGAGUAAUGCAUCGGAACGUGCCCAGUAGUGGGGGAUAGCCCGGCGAAAGCCGGAUUAAUACCGCAUACGACCUGAGGGUGAAAGCGGGGGACCGAAAGGCCUCGCGCUAUUGGAGCGGCCGAUGUCGGAUUAGCUAGUUGGUGGGGUAAAGGCUUACCAAGGCGACGAUCCGUAGCUGGUCUGAGAGGACGACCAGCCACACUGGAACUGAGACACGGCCCAGGCUCCUACGGGAGGCAGCAGUGGGGAAUUUUGGACAAUGGGGGCAACCCUGAUCCAGCCAUGCCGCGUGCGGGAAGAAGGCCUUCGGGUUGUAAACCGCUUUUGUUCGGGAAGAAAUCCUCUGGGCUAAUACCCCGGGGGGAUGACGGUACCGGAAGAAUAAGCACCGGCUAACUACGUG